GAUGAACGCUGGCGGCGUGCCUAAUACAUGCAAGUCGAGCGGACUUUCAAGAAGCUUGCUUUUUGAAAGUUAGCGGCGGACGGGUGAGUAACACGUGGGCAACCUGCCUGCAAGACGGGGAUAACUCCGGGAAACCGGGGCUAAUACCGGAUAAUAUCUUCCUUCGCAUGAAGGAAGGUUGAAAGGCGGCGCAAGCUGCCGCUUGCAGAUGGGCCCGCGGCGCAUUAGCUAGUUGGUGAGGUAACGGCUCACCAAGGCGACGAUGCGUAGCCGACCUGAGAGGGUGAUCGGCCACACGGGGACUGGGCCCCGGCCCAGACUCCUACGGGGGGCAGCGGUAGGGAAUCUUCCGCAAUGGACGAAAGUCUGACGGAGCAACCCCGCGUGAGCGAAGAAGGUUUUCGGAUCGUAAAGCCUUGUUGUAAGGGAAAAACAAGUCCCGUUCGAACGGGGCGGUCCCUUGACGGUACCUGACCAAAAAACCCCGGCUAACUCCGU
RNAcentral lists this ribosomal RNA (498 nucleotides) under uncultured bacterium. Its description in RNAcentral is "partial 16S ribosomal RNA". It matches the Rfam family "Bacterial small subunit ribosomal RNA", at positions 28 to 506 of the family's 1533-position model. The record is from RNAcentral.